Molecule: transfer RNA, 74 nt
Filed under: Caudoviricetes sp.
Lineage: Duplodnaviria; Heunggongvirae; Uroviricota; Caudoviricetes
Description: tRNA-Ile
Rfam family: tRNA
About the family: Transfer RNA (tRNA) molecules are approximately 80 nucleotides in length. Their secondary structure includes four short double-helical elements and three loops (D, anti-codon, and T loops).
Source: RNAcentral
AGGCUCGUGGUGGAAGUGGUUAACGCGUUGCUCUGAUAAAGCAAAGAUUCCCAGUUCGAUUCUGGGCGAGCCUA